RNAcentral lists this ribosomal RNA (446 nucleotides) under uncultured bacterium. RNAcentral's name for it is "bacterial SSU rRNA". It matches the Rfam family "Bacterial small subunit ribosomal RNA", at positions 330 to 793 of the family's 1533-position model. The record is from RNAcentral.
GCCAGACUCCUACGGGAGGCAGCAGUGGGGAAUAUUGCACAAUGGGCGAAAGCCUGAUGCAGCGACGCCGCGUGAAGGAUGAAGUAUUUCGGUAUGUAAACUUCUAUCAGCAGGGAAGAAAAUGACGGUACCUGACUAAGAAGCCCCGGCUAACUACGUGCCAGCAGCCGCGGUAAUACGUAGGGGGCAAGCGUUAUCCGGAUUUACUGGGUGUAAAGGGAGCGUAGACGGCGAUGCAAGCCAGAUGUGAAAGCCCGGGGCUCAACCCCGGGACUGCUCUUGGAACUGCGUGGCUGGAGUGCAGGAGGGGCAGGCGGAAUUCCUAGUGUAGCGGUGAAAUGCGUAGAUAUUAGGAGGAACACCAGUGGCGAAGGCGGCCUGCUGGACAGUAACUGACGUUGAGGCUCGAAAGCGUGGGGAGCAAACAGGAUUAGAUACCCUGGUAU